UUUGUUAUCAAGACCAAAAAGAAGGUUUUGGCAAGGCAAGAUAGAAGAGAAAUAGAAUACCUAGUUGAAGAGGUGUUGAAAGAAGACAACAGCAAUAAUCAAUCUCACCUCCUCCUAAAAAAAUUAAAGUAACAUUUCACACAAUCAUCAAGACAACCUAAUGUAUUGGUGUUUUAAAGAUGGUAUUAAACUUAAAAUGAUGUUUUAUUCUAAGAGGUAUAAUAACUCGAGUGGUUUAGUCCUUAGGAGUUAAAAGACGUCAUAUUUUAAAACAUUCAAGCUACUACAACUAUAAGUAGAAAAACUUAUGUAGAAAAGUAUAUCAAAUAAAAAAAAUGUUGCAAAAAAUGUCCCCUUCUUAGACAAAGAACAAAAAGACGUGUAAACUUAGACCUUUCUUUGCCUUGGCUUCAUAGAGUUGAUUAUCAUAGAAACAAACUUAAGUGUCUUUUGAGUGUUCUGGCUUUAAGAUUGCAACAUUCAUAGAAAUCUUACAUUUUCUAGUACAAAUAAGUAUAUAAUAUUAAAUAACAAUGCCAUAUAAACUUAAGCACAACAAUGUAAAAAAGCAACUCAAUCAUAUAAAUUUGGACAAAGUAAGAAUAAUACUUAAACUUUCCAAACUUCUAUAAAACAUACAUGUAGAAGUAGUAAUCCUAGCAAGGUACAUUGAUAAUUAGUCAUCUAGAAUUAAUAAGCAAAAGACCUCAAUGGAGUUUUUUUUUAACAAAAAAUCCAAUAUUUUAAAAUUAUGGACAUUUAGAGCUAAGGUGUUUGAAUUGGUGCCAUUACAACAAAAUUGGAAGUUGGACACAUUUGACAAAAUUAGAUAUCUUAUUGAUUACCAAUCUUAUACAAAAGACUAUUGCAUCUACAUUAACAAUAAGUUGAUUGUCUUUAUUAAUGUUUUUUUUCACAAACAAAGAAAAUUGCUAAUGUCGGCAAAGCUUCCUAUGUAAAACUUGCUACAUUAGAAGAAACCUCCACUAGUGCAUCUAUUGGCAAUGUAAGCAUUGACAACUUUGUCAUAGUUGUAAGCAACAUUGAAGACAAUACUAAGAAUAAAGAAGGCGGUAAUAAAGACACUCACAUCCACAAAUUUCUUCAAUACUCUAAAGAUUGGAUUUAAACAACUUCUAUCUAUAAAAACAACCAAGGAACUAUUAAGAUGUUGAAGAAUUUAGGAAUGCUUAUCUUACUGCCAUUACUUGUAAUUACAGAUUAAUCAUCAUUAUCAAAUGAAUACAAGAAGCCAUAUUACUUGACUUAAAGACUUUAACAAGAGAACAAAUAUGAGAUAUAAUGUAGGGAGCUUUGAAAAAACAAUAAUGUAUGAAGCAUACCUUUUUAAUUUCAUUGGAAUAAGAAUAAGGAGCUUUUCAAAAAUUCAAUUGCUUCUGUGGCAAACUUGCCAAAUUUGAGUGAAUGUUCAACCUAUAUUUUUUGUUUCCUUUUUUUUUUGUUUUAUUCUGUGUGGGGCAAUGGGGUGAGGAAGGCGAUUUGAAGAGAAACAUGCUAAACUCCUUGUGGCCAAAUACAUUUAAUUGUUUUUCGAUAUGUCAAUCAUGUGCCCAUCUAAUUUCUUAUUUUUUUUCCUCUUUUGUUUUCACUUUCCACUACUUCCACAGAACAGGAUGUUCAAUAUGCAACCUUUCAAUGGAAAACAUAUAGGUAUCAUAAAUUUCAAUUCUUGACCAUUCAUAGUGGACUUCCAAUUUAGAAUGUGGAAUAACUCUUCUUUUUUAAAACUGGAAUGUAGGCAUUUUCAAAGAGGUGGAGUACAUAC
Molecule: long non-coding RNA, 1786 nt
Filed under: Physcomitrium patens
Lineage: Eukaryota; Viridiplantae; Streptophyta; Bryopsida; Funariales; Funariaceae
Description: long non-coding RNA (PPAT_LNC005666)
Source: RNAcentral